RNAcentral lists this long non-coding RNA (1071 nucleotides) under Schizosaccharomyces pombe (fission yeast). The record is from RNAcentral. Lineage: Eukaryota; Fungi; Ascomycota; Schizosaccharomycetes; Schizosaccharomycetales; Schizosaccharomycetaceae.
UACAAAGAAAUCUUGACUCAAUAAGCAAAAAAUACUCACUUUUUCUACUUUUUAGAUUUAAAAAAAACAAAUUAUGCGUAAUUAUACUUUGAUAAUUGACUGACGACUUCCAUGUUCAAGAAUCGGCUUUCGUACUAGAAAAUUCUUGGGAAAACAGAGAAUAAAUGAUUUUUGUAUAUGUGUGUUUUGACACCUUUAAAUAAAACAUUUUUUCAUUGUUGUCAAAUAUAUAUCUUAAGUUUGUCAGAAAUUGGUACACACUCUUUUAUCUGUUGAGCUCUCAAAAACAAACACAAGCAAUCGACUAUUUGGAUGAAACACACAUUGUUUUCCACUCAAAGUUUUAGUUCAACUCAUCUAUAAUGUUCAUACUGCCUCCCUAUUUGACUUCGUGAGCACAAACCGCCAACGAAAGUUUGAAACCAGGUUAUUUACAAUUAUUCAGAGUUGCUUAAGGAACCUGUUUUCCUAUUAAAAAAUUGCAUUGAGAUACUUACUAAACUGCUAUAUCUUUUUGUUUUCUCAUUUAAUGAAAAACAUUCCAAAAACAAUAUUGACAUCAAGUCGUUUUUUAAUGUAACAGUUUUAAUGAAUUCUUCAGAUUGUUUCUAUCGUAUUGCUCUAUCUCAAUGAAAGCACUGCUAAGAAAUUAUAUUUAAAUUGAUAUGACAGCUUCUAAUAUCGAAUCAACUAUCCAUCCUCAUACUAAUACCACAUGAGUCGGACUAAUUGAAAAUGCCAGCGAUAUCGACAAAUGUACAUCGACAUUUCGGAUAAUGUUUGGGUUUAGAGUAGCCUCUUUUGUAGUUGAAAGUGGAAGAAAUACAUGAUUAAAUGUUGUGCUUCCAUAGCUCGUGUACUUAUAAAUCAUACAGUCACUCUUGAGAAUAUGAAAUUAAAAAUCACUGCAUUUAUUCUAACACUUAUUCUGUUCCAGUAAGAAUUAUUCAAACUGAAUUUACUACAAAACUACAGAUCAAUACCCACACAUAAAAACCAAAAACAAGUUUUUUCUUUUAUUUACAAUAGCUUCAACUAAGUAUUUUGAAGCUGCUUGUUAGUUAAUGCUAC